ACAUGCAAGUCGAGGGGCAGCACGAUGUAGCAAUACGUUGGUGGCGACCGGCGCACGGGUGAGUAACGCGUAUGCAACCUACCUUUUACCGGAGGAUAACCCGGAGAAAUUCGGACUAAUACUCCAUAAAGAUAAACAGAGGCAUCUUUGGAUAUUUAAAGCUGCGGUGGUAAAAGAUGGGCAUGCGUAACAUUAGCUAGUUGGCAGGGUAACGGCCUACCAAGGCAAUGAUGUUUAGGGGACCUGAGAGGGUGAUCCCCCACACUGGUACUGAGACACGGACCAGACUCCUACGGGAGGCAGCAGUGAGGAAUAUUGGUCAAUGGGCGGAAGCCUGAACCAGCCAUCCCGCGUGAAGGAAGGAGGCCCUAUGGGUUGUAAACUUCUUUUCCAGGGGGAUAAAAUCCUGCACGAGUGCGGGACUGAAGUACCCUGGGAAUAAG
This 443-nucleotide ribosomal RNA is filed under the name uncultured bacterium. RNAcentral describes it as "bacterial SSU rRNA". It matches the Rfam family "Bacterial small subunit ribosomal RNA", at positions 53 to 490 of the family's 1533-position model. The record is from RNAcentral.